This 401-nucleotide unclassified non-coding RNA is filed under the name soil metagenome. RNAcentral's name for it is "partial contains 5.8S ribosomal RNA, internal transcribed spacer 2, and large subunit ribosomal RNA". The stretch from base 1 to 121 matches the Rfam family "5.8S ribosomal RNA", at positions 35 to 154 of the family's 154-position model. The record is from RNAcentral.
GAUGAAGAACGUAGCGAAAUGCGAUAAGUAAUGUGAAUUGCAGAAUUCAGUGAAUCAUCGAAUCUUUGAACGCACCUUGCGCCCUUUGGCUAUUCUGAAGGGCAUGCCUGUUUGAGUAUCAUGAACACCUCAACUCUCACGGUUCGCCGUGAUGAGCUUGGACUUUGGGGGUAUUGCCGUCCCACCGCCGGCUCCUCUCAAAUGAAUCAGCUUGCCAGUGUCUGGUGGCAUCACAGGUGUGAUAACUAUCUACGCUUGUGGUUUUCCGCCAGGUAACCUCCAGCGAUGGAGGUUCGCUGGAGCUCACAAAUGUCUCUCCUCAGCGAAGACAGCUCUUGAACGUUUGAUCUCAAAUCAGGUAGGACUACCCGCUGAACUUAAGCAUAUCAAUAAGCGGAGGA